Long non-coding RNA from Mytilus trossulus (common blue mussel), 486 nucleotides. RefSeq lists it as uncharacterized. The record is from RefSeq and is a predicted model, not a curated record. The transcript has 3 exons. Lineage: Eukaryota; Metazoa; Mollusca; Bivalvia; Mytilida; Mytilidae.
AGAUAUUUUUAAUCAUAGUAUAAUGACGAUAGAAAUUUAAUCAAGCACAAAUAACGCAGGCGACAGGACCAAUUAAUUUUUAUUUAUCAAAAUGAAAUAUUUAAAGAGACAAAUUUCUUCGUCUUUAUUACUGUGAAAGUGUACCAUUUGAAAUGACGACCCAACUACUUGUAAAAUGUGUUUUGGUAUUAGUUCUUAUAAAUUCUUUGCAAGACGCUGGAUACUUAAAUCAACUAACAGUAGCUUCGGAUGGAGAUAACUGUGAUACUGCCAGUUCCUUGCAUUCAGCUCCGUGGUUUACCAUGCUGUUAGCAGCUUCUUCGCUGUAUCUUAUAAUGUGGACUCUAAGAUGAAACAAUGGUUGAAGAAAUAGGUUUACCAAAAAAUCUAAUGAUGGCACACAUAUUGCCUUUUGGGGGUUUUGUUAAGUUUUCGCAUAUAUAAAAUAUAUCAUUGUAUUCUUGUUUUAUAUUUUGUCUCUUCGCG